AUGCUCCUUCGAUAGCACAAAUACUAAAAUUUAAAAUACAAAAAAGAUUAGCAUGGUCCCUACACAAGGAUGAUGUGACCAAGCAUUAAGAAUUAACAAAUAAUU
RNAcentral lists this small nuclear RNA (105 nucleotides) under Dasypus novemcinctus (nine-banded armadillo). The record is from RNAcentral. Lineage: Eukaryota; Metazoa; Chordata; Mammalia; Cingulata; Dasypodidae.